GGAUCAUUACCGAGUGAGGGCCCUCUGGGUCCAACCUCCCACCCGUGUCUAUCGUACCUUGUUGCUUCGGCGGGCCCGCCGUUUCGACGGCCGCCGGGGAGGCCUCGCGCCCCCGGGCCCGCGCCCGCCGAAGACCCCAACAUGAACGCUGUUCUGAAAGUAUGCAGUCUGAGUUGAUUAUCAUAAUCAGUUAAAACUUUCAACAACGGAUCUCUUGGUUCCGGCAUCGAUGAAGAACGCAGCGAAAUGCGAUAAGUAAUGUGAAUUGCAGAAUUCAGUGAAUCAUCGAGUCUUUGAACGCACAUUGCGCCCCCUGGUAUUCCGGGGGGCAUGCCUGUCCGAGCGUCAUUGCUGCCCUCAAGCACGGCUUGUGUGUUGGGCCCCGUCCCCUCCCCCGGGGACGGGCCCGAAAGGCAGCGGCGGCACCGCGUCCGAUCCUCGAGCGUAUGGGGCUUUGUCACCCGCUCUGUAGGCCCGGCCGGCGCCAGCCGACACCCAACUUUUAUUUCUAAGGUUGACCUCGGAUCAGGUAGGGAUACCCGCUGAACUUAAGCAUAU
This 558-nucleotide ribosomal RNA is filed under the name Aspergillus fumigatiaffinis. RNAcentral's name for it is "eukaryotic LSU rRNA". The stretch from base 195 to 348 matches the Rfam family "5.8S ribosomal RNA". The record is from RNAcentral. Lineage: Eukaryota; Fungi; Ascomycota; Eurotiomycetes; Eurotiales; Aspergillaceae.